AUGUAUAACCUUCCUCCUUGGAUGUGCAUGAAGCAGAAGUUCAUUAUGAUGCCAGUUCUCAUCCAAGACCCUAAGCAACCUGGCAACAACAUAGAUGUGUACCUAAGGCCAUUAGUUGAAGAACUUUUACAGUUGUGGAAUGGAAACGGUGUACGUGCAUGGGAUGAGCACAGACAGGAGGAAUUUAACCUGCACGCGUUGCUGUUUGUAACCAUCAACGAUUGGCACGCUCUCAGUAACCUUUCAGGACAGACAAACAAGGGAUACCACGCAUGCACGCACUGUUUAGCUGACACCGAAAAUAUAUACCUGGACAAAUGCAGGAAGAAUGUGUACCUGGGUGAUCGUCGAUUUCUUCCGACCAACCAUCAAUGCCGAAAGAAAGGCAAGCAUUUCAAAGGCAAGGCAUAUCACCGGAAGAAGCCCAUGAUACGUCUCCAACGUAUCUAUAAUUUUUGA
Molecule: ribosomal RNA, 459 nt
Filed under: Triticum aestivum (bread wheat)
Lineage: Eukaryota; Viridiplantae; Streptophyta; Magnoliopsida; Poales; Poaceae
Description: partial small subunit ribosomal RNA
Source: RNAcentral